UUCAGUUAACAAAAAUUUAUCAAUUUCCUCUCUUAGACUUUUGAGACCUACUCUGCCCCUCGAUUUGUAUAACAUGUAUUUGAGGAUGAUAAGAAACGUCUCAACCAUUGAGUAUUUCAGAUUUGGAUCCAAGUGCCCAGAUGAAAAGAAUGUAUAGGGAAACCAUCCUUGAAAAAAGGGAGCUCCCAAAUCACAAAAUUUUAAGAGCUCACAUGGUCCCAUGACAGAACUUUUGUGACUUUCUGAAGACCUCACAAUUUCAGACUGUUUUCC
RNAcentral lists this long non-coding RNA (273 nucleotides) under Vulpes vulpes (red fox). RNAcentral describes it as "lncRNA (ENSVVUG00000014139.1)". Lineage: Eukaryota; Metazoa; Chordata; Mammalia; Carnivora; Canidae. The record is from RNAcentral.